AUACGGAGGAUCCGAGCGUUAUCCGGAUUUAUUGGGUUUAAAGGGUGCGCAGGCGGCCAUUUAAGUCAGCGGUUAAAUCGUGGGGCUCAACCCCAUUCUGCCGUUGAUACUGGGUGGCUUGAUUGCGGUCGAGGUUGGCGGAAUUCGUUGUGUAGCGGUGAAAUGCAUAGAUAUGACGAAGAACACCGAUUGCGUAGGCAGCUGACCAGAUCGCAAAUGACGCUCAUGCACGAAAGUGCGGGGAUCGAACAGGAUUAGAUACCCUGGUAGUCCGCACAGUAAACGAUGAAUACUUGUUUUCGGCGAUAUAAUGUCGGAGGCAAAGCGAAAGCGAUAAGUAUCCCACCUGGGGAGUACGCCGGCAACGGUGAAACUCAAAUGAAUUGACGGGG
This 392-nucleotide ribosomal RNA is filed under the name uncultured bacterium. RNAcentral's name for it is "partial 16S ribosomal RNA". It matches the Rfam family "Bacterial small subunit ribosomal RNA", at positions 523 to 918 of the family's 1533-position model. The record is from RNAcentral.